UGCCUUGUCCCGUCCAUGGCAUCCAAUCUUUGUUCUAGCUCAGAGCAGAGGGAGGGGCUCCAGGACAGGGACUUGUCCCCUACUUUCUCCUGGAGAGUCAGAAUGGCAAGCUGCAGAGAGGAUCAGGCGGUGCAUGUGGUGAACCUUGAGUCCACACAGCAGGUGUCACCUUGGUACUGGGAUGCAGGCUCCAGGUGGGCUGGGAGGGCUCAACCAAGAGUUGGCAUCCAAUGCCCAACUCUGCCAUAGACAGCCUAAGGUGAUGAUGUCAGGGCUGUGUACCUGGGGCUCCACCAUCCCCCAGUGGUGGGCACCUUAUUGAAGCAAGCCUCGGUGUUCUCCCCUGCAGCAUCAUGGCAGGGUUCUUUCUUGGGAGAAUCCAUGAGGAGAGCAGAAAAAGGCCCAGGACUGUGCCUGGAAUGGUGGCUAUACUGAAUCUGGCUCCUUGCACGGAGGUUGCCUUAACCACCAGGGUCAAGUUGAGCCAGGACACACCGGCCUCACAGGUGGGUGGGGCUCUGUGGGUAGCAUCAGCAAAGAAAGGGAGGGCUUCCCUGGUGGCUCAGUGGUAAAGAAUCUGCCUGCCAGUGCAGAAGAUAUGCGUUUGAUCCCUGGUCUGGGAAGAUACCACAUGUCACUGAGCAACUACGCCUGUGAGCCACAACUACUAAGCCUGUGCUCUAGAGCCCAGGAGCCACAACUACUGAAGCCCUCAUGCCUAGAGCCCCGGCUCUGCAGCAGGAGAAGACGCUGCCAUGAGAAAAGCCUGCACACCACAACUAGAGCGUAGCCCUCACUCACUGCAACUAGAGAAAAGCCCAUGCAGGAACAGAGAUCCAGCACAGCCAAAAAUAAUAAAACAGAAGGGAAGGGACAGACAGGGACAGGGAGGGAGGAAAGAGCAGCCAGGAGUUCCCUGGAGCCAGCUGGCGGUGGCACGGUGUGGAGCUCUAGCAGGCUUGCAAAGGCAAAAGAGCCUCAGAGCAGAGACAGGGAGAGGUUGAAGGGAGCUAGGGACAGGAUAGGAAUCUAUGAGCAAGGACGUAGAGGUUUUUAGAAGGGCAUAUAAUUGUGGGCCUCUGAGAAUGCAAAUGAAAGAAUUCCUGUUCAUCCUAAGUCCAGAUCCAAAGAGUUUGGAGGGCUUGUUUGUAUGUCAGC
Bos taurus (domestic cattle) is the source of this 1158-nucleotide long non-coding RNA. NCBI's taxonomy places the organism in Eukaryota, Metazoa, Chordata, Mammalia, Artiodactyla, Bovidae. The record is from Ensembl.